Molecule: long non-coding RNA, 37317 nt
Filed under: Linum usitatissimum (flax)
Lineage: Eukaryota; Viridiplantae; Streptophyta; Magnoliopsida; Malpighiales; Linaceae
Description: long non-coding RNA (LUSI_LNC002647)
Source: RNAcentral
AAUAAAAAGCUACAAAAUGCACGUUCAAUGUGUCAUAUUAGUGUCACACUGAUACAUCUGGUGAGUUCAUUAGAUCAAAAUCAUACUUGUUUACAUAUUAUAUGGUUAGUUUUUUUCGAAUUGGUGAANNNNNNNNNNNNNNNNNNNNNNNNNNNNNNNNNNNNNNNNNNNNNNNNNNNNNNNNNNNNNNNNNNNNNNNNNNNNNNNNNNNNNNNNNNNNNNNNNNNNNNNNNNNNNNNNNNNNNNNNNNNNNNNNNNNNNNNNNNNNNNNNNNNNNNNNNNNNNNNNNNNNNNNNNNNNNNNNNNNNNNNNNNNNNNNNNNNNNNNNNNNNNNNNNNNNNNNNNNNNNNNNNNNNNNNNNNNNNNNNNNNNNNNNNNNNNNNNNNNNNNNNNNNNNNNNNNUGGAAAUUCAGUAGGUGUUAUUUGUUGAGAACAAUUGGAAAGAAAUUGGUGUUGGUAGAUCAUAGAGUGAAACACUAUUACUAGACUCAUGUUUAUCAUAUUUCAGUUCGAUUUGAGCGGAAUUGUUAGCUUAAAUUGAUAAUGUCGUGUACGUGUUNNNNNNNNNNNNNNNNNNNNNNNNNNNNNNNNNNNNNNNNNNNNNNNNNNNNNNNNNNNNNNNNNGUUAAUAAUUCAGAUGUAAAAUAUUUGAAUAUAAUUGCACCGUACAAAUAAAUACAUAUAUAAUAUUUAAGAUAUCUCGAGCAUUUUUCCACUAGAUGGAGCGUAAAAUUUAAAUCCCAAAGAAUUUCAAUAAUUUGGAGCUUUUAGCUGCCAUUGUUAAGAAAAUUUAACAAGCAGUAAAAGUUAAUAUUUUAAAGAAACAAAAACAGAAUUAUCCAGAAAUUGGUAAAUCCCUUCGUCAAGAGUUGGAAAGUCUAAUUAUGACAAGUCAUUAGGUUCCAGGGUUAAUUAAACAAAUCCAUAGUUAAUGCUGAAGGUUAAUGACAUUUGACCUCGUCCUUCUUAACUCCAAUUAAACAACGAAAAUUCAACCCUCUAAUUAAUCAACCCCAAAACCAAACAAAAUGUAGCCACAGAAUAUAGGAGUCCAGCACUUGUGCUCCACAUUUAAUCCAAAAAAAAGCUGAGUCAAAAGUUCGAGAGUGACCGGCUGAUCCUCCACGGCCACCCGUUCAUUUUUUUCUCCGGCGAAGGGUGGUGUUUUUAUUUAUUACAAAGCCAGGUCAGCUUGCGGUGGCUAAAUUUUGUCCCUACUUUAAUUGAAUGAAUUAUUUGGGAAGCUCGUCGUCGGCACUUCCAUGUAAUCGUGACUAGGCUCUUAAUUAAUAUCAUGAUUACUAGUUUGCCUAUAACUUUGGUUUCCUGGUCCAGUUGUGUUAAAUGUCGCUUUCUUAAUUUUCCAUAAUUUAAGGAAGAACCCAUCUAAUUAAGAUUGGAGGUUAAAAUGAAUUUAACGUAGUUUCAUAUUCACACUCGAAAAUGUGUCUAUAACCAAACUUGAUGAUGGUUAUGGAUAAUCAUCUCCUUGAUGAGUUAUGCAUUCAUACUCACAAUAGUGUGGUAUCAGGAUAAUUGGAGAAAGCUACUCACAAGUAGAUUAAUCUGACGAGUCGAUGUGUCUGUAAUACAAUUAAACUGUGAUCCUGUGAGUUCGUAAUUUGACUAACCUGAUUCGUGACUCGCCCAUCCAAUCCGUUUGACAGUUCUACUCAAAAGUGCAAUAGCAAAUUUUCAAGUUUAUAGUGAGUUUGAAAGUUACAUUUGGCGAAAUUAAACAACACACUAGAAAAGAUAUUUGAUUUUGAAAAUUUUAUAUAGGAUUUUGUUAAUUUGGAACCGAAAGAUUCUAGUCGAUAGUUUAGAUUCGUCCACCUCUGAUUCCACCAUUGCAUAUUAGGGGAUAAGGAUGAAAUUUGGACGGAUUAGAGACUGUGUGAAUUUUGAUGAAGCUGUCUUUUACCUAACUAGAAAGAGAAUAUCCGGUAAUGAAAUAACAUCCGAUAAUAUUUCGCACAUAAUAACGUAGGAAAAUAGAGAGUGUCUGAAAAUGAUGGACACGUUUAACGAGACAACAUCCAGCAAUAUUUCUUACAUAAUAACGUAGGGGAAAUAAAAAAUGGGAAUAAGUUUGAGACCCAAUAAAAGCAUAAUACAUUGAACGAGUAGAAAAAUUGGGAUAUGUAAAAGAGGAAUUAUUAUUGGGUGUUAAUAGGAGAGUAGAGCUGUAUGAUUUCCACAUGCAAAACCCAGCACAGACAUCACAUGAUGAUGCACUUGCAUUGCACCUACGGCAGCUGUUAUUAACGUUACUCCUAGCUAACUAUUUUGGCAUCUUAUUCAUUAAUUAAUGUAAUUAUCUGUGUCUCUGCUGGUUUAUUUACUAAAAUUAUAGGUCCGAAUGCAUUCAUCACAUCUUAACCUUAGGUAUGUGCCUGCUUUGAUGGACUAUCUGAUUAUGCUCAUCAAAAUGCUACUAGAAUCAUAUAAGAUAUCGAUUUUGAUCUGCAAUCUUUCAACAAUUUAAUGAUUUGUACAAGUAUAACUAUAUAUAUUAGCCGAGAAGUUUGCGAUUUUAUUUUCGAACAAGCUCAUAAGUCAUAUAUCUGUUUCUUCGAACCACAGUAGAGCUAACUGGGUUUACAUCAAAAUUCACAGGGCCUCAAAUGGAGUAGUGGGUGUUGUGAAAAUUUACAAAAUUAAUAUACAAUAUACAAGAUUUCAAGAGACUCAAGUGAACUAAUAUUUGAGAAAAGAAUUGGCUCUUCGCAAUAACUUAUAAACACAUACGAUUGAUUAAUAAUAAAUAAAACUAAACACCUACGGUGUCGGCCACAUUAACAGUAUAAUUAACAUGGAAUUAGCAGUCGCAAACUGGAUACAAAUACAAGCCACAUGGGUCUGCGCCAAGUGUCCGACCCAAACCUACCGUCGACUUGGCAGUAUGCAUUUGUCAUGAAGCUAGAGGCCAAAAUUCAAGAGCUUUGAUUGAAUAUUAAUUAUACAAAAUUUGAAAAUAUUAAUCUCAGAAGAACCCAGAUGUGAAAUAUAUAGAUCGGACACAUGGGCCAAUAUAGUCCCUGAAUUAAUUUAUUUUUUUAAAAUUUAAUAAAUCACCGUAGAACUAAUAUUAGUCGGUUGAUGGAGGAGGAAUAGUUGAGGAGAUUAGCCACAAAGUCGUAAUUUGUUGGGUCGUAAUUGAGGGAUUAAGGGGGGCCAUAGACACGUGUCUUUUUGCUUCAUGUCACUAGUUAGCCACAUGGCGGAAGAAAGGUGGUGGAAAUGUUUUUCAUUCUUGUCACAAAUUUAAUAAAUAAUGUGUACUUUUCGGCUUCAAUAAUGAGUAUAAUUAAGGCACUUUUUCGGGUCAUUAAUGAUUAGUGUUUCUGGGUUUAUGCCCUCCACAAUCGUUGUAAUUCAUAUUCAUUGUAUGUGGUGUCAAAGUGUUAGCCUCAUCUUAUUCGAUAUCGAUCAUUGUUCUCUUAUAUGAAUUUUUAAUAAUUUGUAGGUUUUAUUUUUUUUUAUGGAUAACUUAUAACGGAUUAUCGAGUUAUAUAGACAAAUGAUGUACGAAUCAAGAGAUGACAUAAUACGAUCAAAUUGUCAUCACCUCUCCUUGUCAAAGUUGUCAAGAACGAAUAUACUUAAUACUUUUUAUAAGAAUUUCAUAUAAUGUUUUAGGAGAAUUUGAUCAAUCUUCAGUUGUGAUAAAUGGAGGCAAUAAUGGGACAGUGAAGGACGUGGGAGACCCUGACAAAUAUUUCAAGUUUGAGGUCUAUUAUUGCAAUUGUUUAGUGUCUAUUAUUGAAAAAUGCAUGCAGUAGUUCCACUGUAACAUAUCGGAUCAAGAUCUGCCCAUACUCUUCAAUUAUUUCCAUAUAAAAUAUUAUUAAUUAAUUCAGACUUUUACAAAUUUUAUGGGUUGUUUUUAUUUGUGGGAAUUUGAUUCUACUAGUUUCUGUGAAUCAAUCAUCCCUUUCUCGAUUAUCAACCAGAGAUGAGAUUGAUGGGAAAUGCUGAUUUUUAAUUUUCAUAAUUAAGCAAGAAAAUGUGACCACAUAAAAUGUGGUGGAUUCUCAGCCAUCAUUACAAAGAUUGCACCUUCCAUCUAAUAAUUUAUAGAUUAGGGUACUAAGAUAGGUUUUUUUUUCCAAAAUGAACUGCACGUUUCAUAGGAAACAAGAUCACAUAACUGCUUAUUAAGGCUCUUCUGUGACCGGCGGGCAACUCUCCGUCGAUUGGUACAAUCGUGGGUUCGGGUUGGCUAGUCGUGACGAUAUCUUGACUCUCCUCCACGUUUUCUCUACAACGAGUAUGAAGCAUCGGUCCAAGGAUUCCUAGCUCCUUCGAGAACGUAACAUUAUCAAUUUGUUAAGAAAGGUGGUGAUGUCUCCUUCGGAAUUAUGGUCGUUGUUUAAGAAGAUAGUGGUCGUUGCUUUUACUUAUAAUGUUGCAGGUGGUUUGGUUUCUAGACAUGGGCAAGCAGUUUUGGGGAACUCAAAACAGUUGAGAAGACUUGAGAAAUGUAGUUAGAAUGGCAAAAAUGAGUGUCAACGACGCAAUUUUCGUUGUAUGUUAUUUUCUUCAUUAGCUAUGAACAUAAAUAUCAACCAAAUUGGCUAAGUUUUAGAAUUUGUGUUGGAAAUAAGUAGAUUUUUUAGUUUUAUUAUAUCAACCCUUUAAAUGGUAGUCAAAUGUAAAAUUUAAAAAUUGAGGUUUUAUCAUGUUAAAUCCUUCAAAUAAUAGCCAAAUAAAGUUUUAUUUUUUUCAAUAUGUUAAAAUAACAUAAAAUAAAAUUGAUUUUUAACUACGUAUGAUCCUUAUUUAUAGGGGUUACCAUAAUGAAACUUGAUUUUUUAUUCAUUCCCAACAUGCUUGUCAAAUAUUAACCGAUUUAAAAAAUUUCAAUUUUCAUGUCAAAAUUGUCAAUUUCCAAAUGAGUUAACGUGUGGAAAUUGAUCAUUUUUACAAGAAAAUUUAAAAAAUUUCAAAUCGACUAAUAUUUAACAUGAAUGUUUGACGUUAAAAAUAUUUUUCAACAUGCUAAAAUAAUACAAAGUAAAAUUAAUUUUUAACUACGUUUGAUCAUUAUUUAUAGGGGUUAUCAUAAUGAAACUUGAUUUUUUAUCUAUUUCCAACAUGCAUUUCAAAUAUUAAUCGAUUUGAAAUUUUUGGAAUGCGCGUUGGAAAUGGUUAGAAAAUCAAGUUCCACUAUGUUACACCCUCUGAUUUUAACUAAAUGAAGUAAAAAGUGUAUUAUUUUAUGUAUGUUUACGAGUUUUUCAUAUGUAUAUUAGACAUUAGCUAUGUAUAUUGAGUUUAACUAACUUUUUUUAUGUUCGAUAUACAAAUUGAAAAGGUCUUCAAUUUCAAACUCGGAUCAUGUGGAUUUUAUGUGUGUUAAGCGGUGGCCCAAAUAUGCCCGGCCCCAGUUUCGCCACUGGUUGUAACUAUGUAAACCAGCAAAGUGUUGUUUAUUUCCUUUCGUUCCCCUAUAUAUAUGCAUCCAUUUUUCAAAAGUGUUGGUUGUUGGAUCAAGAAGAAGUGCAUAAAGCGUAGACUUGGGGGUAGAAAGCAGACACUGAUCAAAUGAUUCAGUCAGAUCCAUCAUUUUUUCAAAAGUGUUGGUUGUUGGAUCAAGAAGAAGUGGAUAAAGCCUAGACUUGGGGACAGGAAGCAGACACUGAUCAAAUGAUUCAGUCAGAUCCAUCAAGAGCUAACCUAGCUAAACAUGAUGAAACAGUGUUUGUUCAUGCAGCAAAGUUUAGACCUGAAAUGGAUGAUGAACUUGUAACUAGCAAACGCUAAUCUGCUGCAACUCCUUGCUGAGUAAGGGCUGAUUACACAUUUUGUGAAAAAAAACCAAUUUGCGAUGAGCGCGGAUCACACACGCGACCUUCAAAUCUCCAAUCUGACGUUCUCCCAACUAAACUAUCUCCACUAUAUAUUUUGUGUACUCACGCUUCAUUUCUCAUAGGUUACGGAAAGCUCAUCAAGUGUAAAUUAUUUGGUGGUGAAAUGAACAUGUUUAAUGGCUUAUUAAUAGAACAUCUCUGCUCAAAGAGUGUUGCACAUUGCCUUAGGUUUUACACGAUUGACUGAGUUCAUAUAAUAUUAGCAUUCAUUGUUUGGAAUAAUCUCUAUUUUGCAAGUGGAACAUGAAACAUCACUAUGGGUCACGAGGACAAUACAUACACAACAAAAAUUCUUUUCUGAAUAAUGUGUUCAUAUGCGAUUUAUAGGAAUUGUUUGUUUUUUUAGCUUCACAAGUUUCAAAUUCAGCUAAAGAUGGACUCGUCACAAGGUUUUAAUUAGUAAAGUUCGAGUUGGGCUCAAGUAUGGCCUGUUAAGGAUAGUUAACAUAACACCUUAGGAAAAUAUCACAUUGGCAAAAGACGAAAGAGUUCCAUAAGUAACAAUCUAACCUUAAUAAACAAGAUGUGGUUUUGGGUGAAAUGGAUGAGCUCUUGUAACAAUUUCAAAAUUAAAUGUACUUAUGUGAGAGCAUUAUGGAUAGGUCACCUUCUGCACCCAAAAGUAAAUCCAUGAGAGACCUAAACCCAUGACAUCUUGUCAAAAAAUAUCAAGAUCUUGUCAUUAUGGAAGCACAAUAGAUUGGUCUUCAAAUCUGUGAAAGGCCUACACCCAUAAGUCAUAACGGACAAUACCUUGUCGAAAAAUGUUAAGGAUAUUACCAUUAACGCGGUAAACUUAAAUAAGCUCGAGCUGGACACGAGCUAAAAUCUUCUAAGUCGAACUCGCUCUAAAAAUAAGGCAAAUCCAAACCCAUCCUUCAUUAGUUAGUUUGUUCUAGUGUUUAAUGACUAAUGUAAGGUCAACGUGAUUAAUCUAAGUCCACACAAUUACUGCCUUCCUUCUUAUUACAUGGGGUUAUUUUUAUUUACUUAUUAAUGGCCGAUUAAGGCGUUAAUGGUCUUAGAUUUGAUAUCCCCGUAAUUCACUGCUACCUCACAUCCAUAAAUUUCUGGGCACCACCCUUUCGAACUACACCAACCUCCGUAUAAAGAGCAAAGAACAAAUUAAACAAUAUAUUCAGACACCAUGAUUAUUACCGCCACUACAAUAACGAAGCUUCUCCCCUUCUAAAUUCAUCCUCCUCCCCUGUUUCACCCCACCUUUCAAGUUUGCUACAUACUCCAAUGGCGUCCAUACCCAUUUCCCUUCUUCCUCUUCUCUUCAUCGUCAUCCUCCUAUCCCUUUCAUUCAAUCCGGCCAUCUCCCAAGAAUCAUCCAAGUCCAGAAAAGAACGAGCCGGAUCAUCUUCAGACUCAAAACCCCAUUCAUCCCCGCCGCUCGACUGCACGAACCGUUGGAUCCACAUCCGGCGGUUACCAACAAGAUUCAACAUUGAUCUCCUCGCCAACUGCUCCGUCUACGGCGACCUCUUCUACGACUUCUGCCCUUUCCUUUCCAUCCACGGCCUCGGACCCAAAACCCACAACCGAUCCCACUCAUGGUACCGAACCGACCCGUUCCUCCUCGAGCUGACCUUCCACCGCCGGAUGCUCGAGUACCCGUGUCUGACCCGCGACCCGAAUCAGGCCGACGCCGUCUAUCUACCCUACUACGCGGCAACCGAUUCCCUAAGGUAUCUCUACGGUCCCGAGGUUAACAAUAGUAUGGACCACGGAUUGGAUCUGUUCGAGUUCUUGCAGGAGAACGAAGGGUGGAUCUGGAGGAAGAAUUCUGGAUCGGAUCAUUUUCUAGUGAUGGCCCGACCCGCCUGGGAUUUCUCCCAGCCCCCGGAUCUUGAUCCGCCGGGUUGGGGGACUUCGUUCUUAGAACUUCCUGAGUUCUACAAUCUGACGGCGUUGGUGGUUGAGUCGAGGUUGUGGGCUGGGCAGGAACAGGCGAUUCCUUAUCUGACGUCGUUUCAUCCCCCCAAUUUGGAGCUUUUGGAUUCCUGGAUUAAUCGGGUUAAGGCUUCCAGGAGGACUACGUUGAUGCUGUUCGCCGGCGGCGGAGGGGUGUCGGCUCAGGCCAAUAUACGGAGGAGCAUUAGGGAUGAGUGUGAGAAUAGUAGUAGCGAGGCGUUCGAGAGCAAUGGCGGGUGGUACUAUUACUCGAAAGUAUGCGACAUUGUUGAUUGCUCGAAUGGGAAAUGCGGGCAUGAUCCGAUCUUGUACAUGAGGCCGAUGUUGCAGUCCACGUUCUGCUUGCAGCCUCCAGGGGAUACGCCAACGAGAAGGUCGACGUUUGAUGCGAUAAUCGCGGGAUGCAUACCGGUGUUCUUUGAGGAUCAAUCGGCGAGAAUGCAGUACGGGUGGCACUUGCCAGAGGACGAGUAUGGGGAGUUUGCAGUGCAUAUUCAGAAGGAGGAUGUGGUGAAUAAAGGGUUGAAGAUUUUGGAUGUGUUGAUGGGGAUUCCUAGGGCUAGAGUUAGGAGGAUGAGGCAGAAAGUUGUUGAGUUGAUCCCAAAGGUUGUUUACAGGAAGCAUGGGAGUUCAGCUGAGCUGAGAGCUCACAAGGAUGCUUUUGAUAUUGCAAUUGAUGGAGCUCUGGAGAGGAUUAGGUCUAGGGUCAAACGUGAAGACUUUUCUGGUUUGAUCAUGAAAUAAUGGAAAGGUCUCUCCUUUUUUGCUUCAUUGUUGUUGUAACAUUACUGGUUUUUGGUUUUUGGUUUUUGGUUUUAGUAAGGUAGGAAAGUAGGGAGCUUUGUGGUUUCUGCCUCCAUUGUAAGUAUAACAAGUUUCAGAUUUGGACAGAAAAGAAUGGAACUUUUAUUUUAGGAUUAACAAAAAUUCAAUUGUUACAUCAGAAAACUAACAAAACCGGAUGUUACAGGGAUUUUCUGCUCUACUCUUUGUCAGUCAAGACAUUGGUGGUUUUGAGAAAAUUAAUGAAAGAAACUUCACAGAUAUAUCAUUUCAACCCCAUCUGAUGAUUGCAGAACCCCAAGUUAGACCAGCUCCAAAUCCAGCUGCUGCAAUUUUAUGGCCUGGCUUCACCUUGCCACAUCGUACAGCUUCAUCCAAUGCCAAGGGAAUGGAAGCUGCACUUGUGUUACCGUAAUUUGCCAGAUUCGAUAUCACCCUUUCGGAUGGAAGCUUCAGGCGAUCUGCAACUGAAUCGAUUAUCCUUUUGUUCGCCUGCAAAGGUAGAAACUGCAAAGUGAGCAAUCCAUUCCGUGUCUCCGAAACAAUUGCAUUACCCAGAAAGUUAUGUACCUGAUGCAGUAGCAACCAAUCUAUGUCAGCUGCCGUAAUGCCAGCCUUUUCGAGGGAGGAUUCUAUGGUCUCGGGCACACAUUGUACAGCAAAGCGAUAAACCUCUUUCCCAUUCAUGGUAACGUAUGAAUAUGAGGAGCGUCUCGGAGGGAAGUCUUGAACCGAUCCGUUAGAACCCAAUGCAUGAUCCGCUUCGUUUUUCUGGAUUGACGCACUUAAAUGUCUGGAGCAUUGGAUUGUAAUAAGAUCACAUAUCUAAGAGGGUAAAUAUAAGACUAGCGUCAUUCUGAACGAAAAAUCCAGCUGACAUUACCUCUGGCCGUCACCGUCACUAUGCAGGUCAAAGCUAAACAAACCAUCAUCCUCACUGUCACAUGCCUGCAGAUUACAACAUAUGUCAAACAGGGAAAAUUGGCAACCACAUUAGAUCGAUCGUCAAAAUAUUGCUUCAGAAGUUUUUAAGUACCUGUACCAACACAGCACCAGCAGCAUCGCCGAAGAGGAUACAAGAUCCUCUAUCUGUCCAGUCCACAUAUCGCGAAAUGGCAUCAGCACCAAUGACUAAAACAUUUUUAAAUCCACCUCCUGUAAAACAUAGUUAGGGAGAUACAUUUAAUUGAACCAAACCGGAUGGAUGGGGACGAAGAGUGGCAAAAGUAGAGCUAGAGAAGAAACAUUACCCCUAAUGUGACAAGAAGCAGAAAUCAACCCCAAAAGGAAUCCACUACAUGCAGCUGUUAUGUCAUACGCCAAAGGAUUUCCUUUGCAUCCAAGCUGCUUUUGAAUCUGAGGAUCCAAAGAAGAGAAAGAAUAAGAUAAAACCCAGGUAACAGUCUGAAGAAAUGUGCAGUUUCUUAAGGUUUAACUGCAUCUUUUGAAAUUUGAUCUUCCAAAUAUGUUCUUAAACAAGAAUGUACCUGAGGAGCACUGCCGAAAAGAUCGUCUGGUGUAGAUGUGCACAACAAGAUCAUAUCCAGAUCAUCAGGAUCAACCUUUGCCAUCUCUAGUGCUUUCCUUGCUGAUUCUGCUGCUAAAGAGACCAGGGUUUCUUUUCCUAUAAGCAGAAACGUGCAAGAAUCAUGUAAAGAGCUUUCAUUUGUUCAAUGAAAUCCAGGGAAAUUUCAGUGCAUGUGGAACUUCACCCAUACACAAAGUGUCUCAAAAGGCGCCUCAUUGAUUCAGACAAAGUAUGCAUAACUAGUUAUAGACUCUGCAAGAAUCUCUCAUAUCUACCUAUGCAAAAUUGACAAUCAGAGCACAUACAUCUUCAAGAACACACUAUUCAAUAUCUCUGCUUUCCCUUCUAAAUUCUCACACACACCGCUCUCCUUUUUCCAUAAAUAUUCAACUGAAGCAUUAAAUUACCAAAAUGGAUUCUGAAAAACCAACCUGUAAGAACUCGUCGAUUAUGAAUCCCCGUACGAUCUGAUAUCCACUUAUCAUUAGUGUCAACCAGUUUAGCAAGAUCAUCAUUUGAUAUCUGAAGUUGUGGAACCGCUGAGCCGCAUCCUAUAAGUUUGCAGCCUUGACUAACAAGCCUGCAUAAUACAAGUGUGCUCAACGGAAUGAAUGUAGCAGUGAAUCAAUUACAUGGCAUUACUAGCACAUCACAUGAAUUUCAAUUUCUCAAUGCAUAUAAAAUAGCACAAUGCAUACACAAAAUGAAAAUCCGCCAAUAUCAUUUAGCAUUAGCAAAGUCAGCUAAUCAUAAAACAUGACAUUAUGUGCACGACUCUUUUAACUACCAUACUAACCAUAAAGCACACACCUUUCACCUAUCUGAAUUACUAACAAUGUAAAGGUAGCUACAACACUCAAGAUCCACCAACAUCCAUUCUAGAGAAAUGAAGAAAAGCAGAACACUGACUGACCAGGGCAUUCGAGCUCCAGAAAGGGAAGAAGUGUUCAUGUCAGAACCUUGAACAGCGCUGGAGCAGAAAAAAACCCCCUUUCGGAAUCCCUUAAUAGAGCUAAACCCAGAUCCACUGAUCCCUACAGAGGGCUUUAACUUCCUUCCCAAGCCUGGAACCGAAGGACCAACGAAACUAGACACAUUGGCCAUUCACUGAACUCUUCAAUACAGCACCGAGCAGACACCCUGAUUACCUUUUAACACUAUGCUGUGAAAGAAAAAAAGAGAGUCAACUGAGAAAAGGGACAACAAGAACGGCGACAAGUCUGAUGGAAUUGGGAAGAGAUGCCAUAUGGGUUUGGUGAAACCCAACAGAGGGAACCCCAAUUGCUAUAAAGAGGGGAGGGUGAAGGUGGGUGGGGGAUGAUCUUUGGAAACUCCGAAGAAACCCAAAGAGAAGAGAGAAUCAAUAAUGAAUGGGUGGAGGGUGGGCGACGCUGCCUACGACCCGAUUUUCAGGAAUUCUCUACCGUUAUGCACUCAAGUGUGGGGCAAAUUUGGUUCAUUGCUUACGGUGUUUGAUUUUGAGAGUGACGAAAUAUCAUAUACAAUUUUCCAAGAUUGAAAACAAUAAUGUCUAGUGUGUGUUACCAAUUACAAAUAGGGCUUAAUUUAUCGUAUUAGUGUGUAAUUUUAAACAGUGGAAUUUCCUUUUUUUGUUAGAAAUAUGAAAUACGAGAGAAGGAAUAAUCAUUAAAUAAAUAUCGUUUGUGAGUUGUAACUAUAUUUGAACUUUAUAUUUUCAAAUUAGAGGUGGAUGGAUAGUGUAAUCGUCGCCGCCUGGCCCAGACAGACAGGAUGGCGAUAGCUCCACCAUCGUCUGCCUACGCUUUUCAUAUCCAAACCUUUUUUUGGAUUUUAUACAUGAUUCGGAGUAGAGGGUUGUCGGAUGCUUCGCUUUCCCGUUCAACUUCUGAACAUUGGAGAUUGAAAGUGUUUGAAUUCUUCUUGGAUUGAAGAUGAGUGUUGUGUUGGAGUUUGUUGUAUUAUAUAGACGAAAGGAUAAUUACGUAAAAUUGGACUGUGAAAAUUUGAAAUGUAAACAAGACUAGAUAGGAUAAGGACUUUUAUUUCUUCAAAUUCAUUGCCUCCAUGCUAGUGCAAAUGCAAAACCCCAACCCAGCCGAUAGCCUUAAAACUUAAAAGCUCCGUCAGAAUGAUAUUAUUGAUGAUCAUCAUCAAGAUUUCACGACAUUGCUCUUCACUGGUAUCAACCACAACCCACAUUUUCGUCGAACCGUAACCCCGAAUGCCUCCGUCACGUCCAAAUCUUCAGCCUUCAUCCCACCGGGGAGCUUCCAAUCAAAAUGAUAAAGCAAGUCAGCAAGCACAAGCUUGACAACAGCGGAUGCGUAGAGCAUUCCAGGGCACAUCCUUCUUCCCGACCCAAAAGGAAUAAGCUCGAAAUCCAUACCCUUGUCGUCAAUCGAACGGUCCAGAAACCUUUCGGGGUAGAAUUUGUCAGGCUCGUCCCAGUAACGACCAUCUCUCCCAAUCGCCCACCCGUCGAUGAUGACUUUGGUGUUGGCUGGGAUCACAUACCCUUCGAUUUCGACCGUCUCGCGGCUCUCUCUAGGGAGGAGCAAAGGCAGCGGCGGGUGUAGCCUUAAGCUUUCUUUAAUUACCAAGUCUAAGUAUUUCGAUUCAUGGAUGCUUGCUUCAUCCACAGUGGCUUUCCCAGAGUACACUCGUCUAACUUCUUCUUGUGCCUUCUGCAGUACUCUGUUGUCUUUCAUCAUUUCAGCCAUUGUCCAUGUAGCGUUUCCUCAUGUAGCGUCGAUAGAUGUAAUUUCAGAGUUAAAAAAAGUCUAUAGAUUUAAGAACAUCAUCAUGCACUAUUACCCUGAUAAGUUUGCAGCUCUAGACGAGCCGAAUCGAGCUGAGUUUUGUCAGCUCGAGUUCGGCUCGUUCAUUGGAAAUAGCACCUUUGAGUUUGUAUAAUCGAGCUAGAGCUCGGCUCGUCAAAAUAAUUGUUAGCUCGAGCUUUGCUUGAAAUCGGCUCGUUUUCAAUUCUUAACAAUCCAAGUUAAAGUUCGAGCUCAACUCGGAUAAGCUUAUAAAAAGUACAAGAUUCUAAAAUGGACACGCCUCGUAUAGUCUAAAUAAGUAACUAAUCGUUAGGAUAACAUCAUUUAUCAUCACAUUACUGUUUGUGAAAUAAAAUGAGGAUAUUUAAACCUUCAAAAUGUAUAAAAUUGAUGCACGGUCUACACUAAUCGAGCCAACGAAUUUUCGAGCCUUAAUUGAGCCUACUCGUAUCAACUUUCAAGAAGCCCAUACUAGCAUUGUAACUGUAAUAGGCCAGGCCCUGACUAGCAUACUUUUGGCCCCGUAAAAUCAUUCAUAGUGCUUUCAAACUAAAGGCAAAUAUCCCCACCACGUAAGUAGCAUGGCAUGGAUCCACCCACAGGCCACAACAGUGAUUUGUUUCCUAUUGCAACUUGUCAAAGUUAAAAUAUCCCCACCACAUAUUCAACACACAUAAAAGUAGCUCAUUGAAUUUCGAGCAUGACUCACAACAUGAAUUCUAAAGGGACCUUUCCCUACUAUCACAGUUGAAAAAAUUCAACUUCAAUGAUUAUCAUACGAUACAUUACAAAAGUACACAGAUUGACAAGGUGGAACCAAGAACCCCCCCCAUUGGUAUGUACAUUAGACAAGAGUACACAAUUACAUGUACUCGUAUAAAUGUACUUACAAGCAUAGAGUUACUAUAGCGCAUUGAGUAACUAGAAAGGUGAGAGAUGGAUGGAUGGAUGGAAUGUGUUGGUUAGGAGAGCAGUAAAUCAGGAAAGUUGAGUGGGGACAAUGAAAUCUUAUGAGAAGAUUCUCCUAUUUCAAGUAUCAACAUACAAAGCUCACGCUUCCUUCCAGAUUUAGGGUUCCCUAAUCUACUCAAAUUACUUCUCCACCCUACUUUUGGUCCGUUGUUUUGUCGGUGUUAUUAGGCCUUUUCACCUGAAACAUAAGUUUAAGUGAUGAGGAUUUUCUUCACACUUAUAAGCAAAAUGCAGUCGCGUCCUUUCCACUCUCCAAUGUUGAAUAACCUAAUAAGUUUCCCUUCACACAUCGAUCGCUCGGUAUGCAUUGCCCAUCUAUCGACUCUAACUGAGUAGUCACUAUCGGUAGGACCGGUCUGAUACCACAAUAAGGUGUUAUUAUUGGACUUCUCACCCCUAAAUCUAGCUGAAAUAGUGAAAUAACUCAACAAUAGAUGAAGCAUGCACCUUGGUUGGAGAUGGCUAGCUAGCAGGGCUGAGUUCCGUCUAGGUCUAGUGGAGGAGUGAUGAGCAAUAAAGAAGGUGGGAAGCCAACCCAGCCCAGAAAGAAAGUGAUGAUCAUUAAUUCGUAUGUAUGCAGUGGUGUCUAAUCUUUGUAGGAUUGUCAGAAGAUCUUGGUAUUCCUUAUCAUGAAUUGACCCAGCCUUUAAAACUUUGUUCGUUUCCCGUAAAAUAUUUGUUGGUACGUUGCAACCAGCCAUAUCCAUGAUUUUGUUUGUUCUUUUGUUGCUUUUGGGUUUUGGGGUUCAUAUAUAUCCACCCAUUACUUCUCUGUCCUAUUGAUUCUCCCAUAUAUAUGAAACCAACUCUUCUUUUGUACCUAGAAAUAGGGGUGGAAAUUGAUUUAUGAUUAGUGGUUAUAAUCGCUAAUUAUAUUAUAAAUUAUGAUUUUUGGUUAACUAUCUACCAUAUUGUGGUGAUUUUACUACACCAUUGUGUGUGGACUGUGGACGAUGAUUUAUUAUAGAUUAACUAAUUCAACUACCCCAUUAGUUGCUUUUUCAUGUAUCAACAAUACCAACAAAACAGUUCUCCAAGUAAUUUGGACAUUUUUGUUGUUUUCAUUGGUCUUUUAUGGUCCGUUUAUGGAUAUCGGUUGGUAUAUAAUAUCUGAAAUGGAUUAGACUGCAUACAUAUUGUAUAUUAUAUUGUUUUAUAUACGAAGACUCUUUGGACGGACACCAUAUUUAGUUAUCGGGUAAAUUUUAGGGUUGGCAGUCAGUUUAGGUGAAACCGUGAUGCCAUCACAAGUGAUAUAAGAACAAAAUCAAAUGAUACAAUCACUCAACUACAACAGACUGUUUAACCAUACAAGAUACUCAUUAACAAUAAAUAUUUCAAAGUUUUAGAUACAAGGUUAAACUGGAUUGUGACCGAUGAAACUCUUCAAAUACCGCAAACACUCAGAAUGUGUUUCUACCUGGUCCACAAGUGAUCUGGGAACCAAAUUCCCAAAAAAUCUGAAAACUGGCAUUAAAGUCUCUGGAAGAAGAAAUCAUCUUUGCCGGUUGAAGUGAGUUUUUUAGUAGAGCGGUUUGUUUUGAUAAUUUGAAGGUUUUGGGUUUGAAUUCAAUAUAUCCUAUAAAAUGAAUACCAAUAUAAUGAAAUGUUUAUUAUCAUGUCUUCUAUCAUGUAGUAAUCGAAAGUUUUAAUCUACUCUAACGACGAGGUGAACAGAAGGUUUAUGCAUGGUUUGUUAUUGUUUGGGUUAAGAUAGGUAUAAGGUUAUGGAUUCUCCACCAUCAACGCCAAUGGUUCCCUGUGUCUUCCUAUUUUGGGUUAUUUGAUAAGCUCUUGCCACUUUCCUCCAGUUGUCUUCCACCAUCUAUACGUCUAGUAAUUACUUUUUGUUUCUGAAUUUUUAUNNNNNNNNNNNNNNNNNNNNNNNNNNNNNNNNNNNNNNNNNNNNNNNNNNNNNNNNNNNNNNNNNNNNNNNNNNNNNNNNNNNNNNNNNNNNNNNNNNNNNNNNNNNNNNNNNNNNNNNNNNNNNNNNNNNNNNNNNNNNNNNNNNNNNNNNNNNNNNNNNNNNNNNNNNNNNNNNNNNNNNNNNNNNNNNNNNNNNNNNNNNNNNNNNNNNNNNNNNNNNNNNNNNNNNNNNNNNNNNNNNNNNNNNNNNNNNNNNNNNNNNNNNNNNNNNNNNNNNNNNNNNNNNNNNNNNNNNNNNNNNNNNNNNNNNNNNNNNNNNNNNNNNNNNNNNNNNNNNNNNNNNNNNNNNNNNNNNNNNNNNNNNNNNNNNNNNNNNNNNNNNNNNNNNNNNNNNNNNNNNNNNNNNNNNNNNNNNNNNNNNNNNNNNNNNNNNNNNNNNNNNNNNNNNNNNNNNNNNNNNNNNNNNNNNNNNNNNNNNNNNNNNNNNNNNNNNCCAAGAGCAAAAUUUAUAAAUAAUAUCAUAUAUUAUAAAUAUUUAAAAAAUCAAGUGUAAGAUAUUAACUUUUACUAUAAUAUGGUUUGCCCCACUAAAACUAAGUAAAGUAAAAUACAAUAUUGCAUAUAUGGUAACAUUAAAUUAGAUGAUUGAUUAUAAAAAUUUAUAUUCCUUUAGUUUAUUAAAAUUUUAAAAAACUACAAAUCAUAUGUGUUCGGUGCUUUUAAUUGAACGAAGGUCUAAUAAUUCACAAAAUCGGAACCGCAAACCUUAAUUCUCACUAACCAUUAAAAUUACAUAUAUAUGGUACCACAAACAUGUGGUACAAAAAAGUAACAAUCUUGCCCAUGUCUGGAUUUGUGGAAAAAAAAAUACCUUUCACUGAUUAUUUUUCCUCAUACGAAUCAAAAUUCUGCAUUUCAAUCUUUUUCACAGAACAAAAAUAAGAAGCAGAGCUGCUCGGCUUCACCCUUUGUUUUAUUCUUCCAAUAUAAAAAAGUCUAACCAAACCAUGCAGAGCUAUUUCGAUCCCAACUCUGAGAGAGAAAGCCAAACCCCACUUCUCUAUAUGUCCUCACUGUGAUUAUCUCCUCCUCUGCCCCCAAUCGGCCCUUUAUUCCAUCUUGCUCAUAUUACUAGCUAUAAGGACUAAGGAGGAAGGAAGAUACAAUGUCCGCUGAAGGAGAAGAUCCUCGUGCCAAAGGAAUCAAAACCAAGAUUCGGGUUGUUCCCAAUUUUCCUAAACCAGGUUCUCACCUAAUUACUCACUCACCCAUCUCUCAGUCUCACUGCUUCUCAUUUCUUUCAGAAUGCAGUGUUCUUGGGAGCAAGGGGCAGCUGUAGAUUGUAUUUGCAGUAAUGGGUUUCCUGCGAUUUGCAGAAAAAGUUGUUGGCAGCUGAACGUUGUCAUGUUGUUGUGUGCAGGGAUUAUGUUUCAGGACAUAACGACUCUGCUGCUGGAUCCAAAAGCAUUCAAAGACACUGUUGAUAUGUUCGUGGAGCGAUACAAGGGGAAGAACAUUUCGGUUGUUGCAGGUAAAUCAAUCCUUACUAUUUUUUUUCAAAUUUUUGCUAUCUGAUAUUAUAAAAGAUUUGAUCUUUUGAGUGGGUGAUGAUGGAGGGAGGUGGUAUCUAGGACCCAGUUUGGCUGCACCGUCAAAUGCACCCACUUCAUAUAAUAUAUUAUACCAGGCUUCUUGUUUGAUAUGAACAUACAUUCUUUUUUAUGGUUUAAUUUACUGUUUUUUUGUAUGCAUCCAGCGCUCGUGUGGUUGUGGUGUUUACUUCUUUACCAUUUAUUACAUGGUUCUUCUGUUCUCACAGUGAAUGGUGAUUGCUUGUUUGACUUUUGAGGGCCUUGGUUGGUAGUACUAGUGGGUGCGCCAUUGAUUGCCUGCUCUGUUUCACAGUGUUUUCUUUUAAGCCCUUUGAGCGGCUUUAAGUUGGGCCUUCUCCUUUCUCUUCUUGCUGUUGUGUUGGUUGUUUGAGCAUGCAUGUGCUGGGAGCUAAUUUGGCUUGGUUUGUUGGUCGUUGAUGUAUGCCCAACCCUUGUUUGAAGGUGACAUGAGUGGACCCUUAUGGUGCUGGUUACUGUUACACCAAAGUUUCUUUUGGCUCUAUUCUAUUUCUAUUAUGGCCUGGUCUCUAUUUGUUUUCAUGUUACUCUCAAGUGGGAUUCUGUGAUUUAGUAGUUGAGAUGCUAUUCCACACACCUCUAUCUGCUUGCUUUUAUGGUUUUAUGUUUCCUCCAGCAACUUGGUAGUGUAAUGUUACUGCUGAUGUGUUAGUUGUCUGUUUUUUGUUCCAGGAAUUGAGGCACGAGGGUUUUUUUUCGGACCUCCAAUUGCGUUGGCUAUCGGUGCCAAAUUCGUCCCUUUAAGGAAGCCAAGGAAGCUGCCGGGUACCUUGAGCUUCACACUCCUCUUCAAUGUUGUUAUAGGCUUACGUUCUCAUCUGUUGAUAGUCUUCCUCACAUAACACUUCACUUAAGUUUGGCCUGGCUUAGCAUGUGGUCAGUAGUUUGGAAUCCAAGAAGAGAUUCUCGAAGUUUCAUUAAUCCGUGUGUUUCUUUUGUGUCCUCAAUCCACAGGUGAAGUAAUAUCGGAAGAGUAUGUACUGGAGUAUGGAAGAGACUGCCUUGAGAUGCAUGUUGGUGCAGUGGAGAAGGGCGAACGUGCGCUGGUGGUUGAUGAUCUGAUUGCUACUGGUGGCACUCUUUGUGCUGCUAUGAAUUUACUCGGUACGUACAGAACCACAAUAGUAGAUGCUCGUUCAGAAUACAUAUGGAUGGAAUCAAACAUGUUCUGAGCUAGUCUGGGAAGGAAGGAUCGAUGAUGCGAACCUGUCGGAGCGUGGUGUUUUGUAACUGGUUAUAGAGUUGGUAGUACACUAGCAGCAUACUCGGAUCUGAGUUUGUUUUUCUUGUAAACAAUCAAUAGUCAUUAACGGUAUUUGAUUUCUUCACUUGCUGUAUUGUCCCUCAGAACGUGCUGGAGCAGAAGUCGUGGAGUGUGCAUGCGUCAUUGAGCUGCCAGAGUUAAAGGUGAGUCCUUUCACUGCCAUAUAGAGAAAUAUGCAGGCGUAGUGAAUCAUUUUCUGUUGUGCCUUAAACUGAAACUGGUUGCCGUAUGGUUCUGCAGGGGAGGGAAAGGUUGCAUCAGAAACCCUUGUACGUACUCGUGGAGUAUCAGUAGGUAUGUGCAUUGUACAGUGUUCGACCAUUGUUGGUUGGUAGUACUGGAGAAGUGGAUUAGCAACGCAAGUAGAGACUCGUUGUUAACCAGAUCGUGGAGCUUGUUUUGGCUCAUUGAUUCCUGCGUUGUAUUGUUCAGUGACUUCAACCUUUUUUCCUAUUAAUUUCUCAAAGUUGCUCUCACUGUAAAAGAUCCAAUGAUGUUAUUUUGCAGAAGAAAAUAAAAAAGCCAGUAGCCAGUGUCUUUAUCAGUUUCCUAGUUCCAAAGCAAAUCCUCUAUCUCUCUUUCACCAUAAAUGUCGACAAGUCAUUUUACAUCUCAGUAGUACUGCUGCAGCCAAACAAGCCCAUAAACAACAACACAGCUUACAGGCCACAAAAUUGAAGUACUGGCAAAUUGCUCAUAGGCUUCAUCAAACCUUACUAGCUACCACUCAAUGAAAUAUAAGGUUUUUUCUUCAUCAGAAAUCGGAUUAACUAAUAAUUCCGAUUAACCCGUAACCCGACUAACUCGUUUGACCCGACUAAUUAAACUUACAUGAAGUAUAUUACUACCAAAUUAACUCGAAACAAGUUUGCCGUAAACCUUGUUUCAUAUUAUUCCCCAGCAAAGAACAUCUAACAACUUGAUGAAUCAAUGCCUCAUUUACUUGUCUCUGUUCCAUUCGUGAUUUCAGAGCGCGCCCGUCUGCUAAAUUUGAGUUGUGUUAAGAUGUUCAAAGGGUGAAUUCAAUUUGGAGAUGUAACAAGAUUUCACUAAGCUCAACUCUGGUUUGCUUUGAAAAGAUGUUGAAUAAGGAGCGUAAGAGGAGAUUACCAGAUAAAGUACAGCAUCGUGUAAAAAAGUAAGGGCAUCUUCUUCGUGACUGAAUAAUUGCAAAUGGUAAAACAAAAUCAGAAGAAAAGCCUGAGAGAUGGACACUCUCAGUAUACAUAUUUCUGGUGCCUAAUCUCAUAAUUACGAAAACCACCGAAAGAAAACGAUUGCAAAUCUAACCCCACUAUCUAUCUCUACACGUAUAUCAUUGCUUUAUCAUUAUUCUUCUCUCAUUUUCAUUCUUGUUUUCUCCUCAUUCAAAGUUAAGCAAAAUAUCGGAAAUACGAAGAUAUCUCGAGUAACUAAUUAUUAGAUCAAUAUCAUGCUUACAUAUAUUACGAACCAAACAACCCCUCCAACUGGGUUUUUUUACAUGACAUGUAUUUGCGACAUCAUUAUUGUUUGUAGAAUUAAUUAUUAAGUAACCUAAAGAUUAUUUGAACCGUGCUAAUUUGAUGAUGCGUUUGUCAAAAAAUUAUGUUAGUUUGGAAGGGAGAAUACUAGACAGAGUAGGCAUGGCUUGGAUCACUAUGCAAUUUAAUCAUCUCUUAGAUUACUAUUUUCAUACAACUUUCACACUUUUUGGGAAUCAUAUUGAAUAGAUAAAUCAAACGAAAUGACCUUUAUAAGAGAAAAAAUGAAAUAAAUAUAACACGAGUGUUUAUAAUCUAUAUGUGAAGUGUGAUUACAUUUGAAUUCGACACCUCCAGGUUUCCAGCCAUACGGCAACCAACUACACUACUCCAUACUAUAAGUGAAUAAUAUAAAUAUCAAUCAGAAUGCAACAAUUCUUUACAUAGUAUAAGAGCUUUAAAUAACCGCAAUAUCUCCGUUUCGAAUCCUAAUAACCCCCAAUCCAUGACACAUGAUUUAUCAAAAUUGUGCAAACCGCAUCUUUUAUGAGAGUUUUCGUUUGAGGAAGCAUGUUAGUGAAUAAUAUAAAUAACUCAAAUUAAUAACAAAAAUUCCAAACAACUCGAGUUAUCAAAAUACGACCAUUUUUAACACUCAGUCAUUAACCAUUUCACAACUCACUUUCCUUCUUCUGAGCCGUUGGAUCACUAGCAUAUGUAAAGUGGCAGUGAUUAAAUGGGGUAAUUAGCAUUAAUGUAGAAUCAGUUUAUGGUUUCAUUAAAAAGGGUGAAACGACCGUUUAAUUUGAUUUGGUUAGCAUUUAUCAGCACAUAAAACAGCCUAAAAUCCGCAAUUAAUUAAGAACAAACAAACAAAAUUGUGUAAAUGCAACCAGUGAAAAAUCCCCCACCAGACAAAAAUAAUAAUAACAGUGAUUUUCCAACUGGCGGUAGUCACCGACACCCCCCGCCGGACCCAGGCAGUAGAACCUCAUCAUCUCGUUCCCGUCCGCCACGCACCUUGCAUUCUCCUCCCACGUCCCUCCGCCUCCUCCCGAAAAUCCGGCCCGGGACUUAACAACUUCCCUGUACUCCUCGAACCGGGUCGAAGUCCGGGACCCGUUCUGCACUUUAAAAAUCAUCUCGAUCCGACCCGAAAACAGCCUCUCGCUCCAGCUGGACUGGAAGAUUAUCUCCACCACGUUCCUCGACGGGUGACCCUCCGGAAGCUCCGUCAAGGCAGGGUAGAGCGACGUCGUUUCCGGAUUGCUCUGCGUGCGGCUAUGACGUCUGGGUUGUUGGGCAGGAAAUGAAUCGGGUCUAGUGUUUGGCUUGGGGUUGAGGUUGGGUUUGUGAGACCUGGAUUUGGGGAGCUUGCGGCGGUGGUGGUGGUUAGCUGCCGAGGAGGAGGAAGUGUCGACGACGUCUUUGAUGUUUCUGGAGCUGUGUCGGCAGCUGGAGCUGGCGAUGAGGUUUCGUGGAGAAGGGCUGAAUACGUCGUCGUAGGCUCUGGACUUGCAUUGGAGAGAUUUCACCCAGGCGGUCGCCAUUUACAGAGGUUGAAAGAUAGAACAGAGAGAUUAGCAAGCUUUUGAAAUCAAAUCAAAUCAAAAGGAUGAAGUGUGAAUGAGAAAGGAAAGAGGAGGUUAGAGGAGUGUUUGGUGAGGGAAGGACAACCGAUGGUUUUCAUUUCUUCUCCCUUUCAUGAUUCUCUGUCUCUUUUCUUUUCUUUCUCUGUCACUUUGUUGGUUAGUUUGCUUUUUUCUGGUUUACUGUGGAUAUUUUCUCUCCCUAGAAAAGCUUCAGCUCAGAAUUUGUUGCGGGGAGGAGGGUAAAAUUGGGAAAGGACAGGAUAAUAAAUGGAGGGCCUGCUGACUGGACACGGCUUUCUGUAAUUUUCCAGUUCUGCCCCCCACACUACUGCUUUAAUUGCCUGGGAUUAAUCUGACACUGCAUCUUAAUUGUCUACCUUCUCACAUAUGAUUAUUAUUAUGCUUGGUCACCAUUUUGACCAGUGAGUUUGAGUGAACCAAUAUUCAGUUCGAGUUGAUUGUUGAUAAACGACCCUAUAUAAAACAAAACGAAGUUCUAUUUGAGAACUGGGCGGCGCCGUAUUAAUGUUUUCUUUAAGGUGGGUGCACGAUUAGGUCAAAUAAUAACGUCGCUCAAAUACAUUUAAUUUUGUUUAGAAAUCGGUUAUUAACCACGAUGGAACCGAUUACUCGAAGUUUGGAGAAGUGAUCUUUCAAAGUUUAGUUUUUAUCAAUAGAAACUCAUAAUUUGAUAUUGUUUUUUACGGAAAAAACGAAAUACCGUUGUUUAUACAUUUCAUAGGCAUUCAUAUUCAUAUUUUACCUUUGUUUUAAGGGACGACUCUCCUACCUAAUUAGAUGAUUUGAUGCCUUAAUACUUGUUCUGUCAUUCAUUAAUAAUAUUUGUCACAUAUAACUUUCAACAAAAAAACCAAUGUUCUAAUAAAAAAAUAAAAAUAUGACAACAAUCGAAUUUGAUAUUUUCAAAUUGUCAUCACACAAAUAUUACCAACUGAGUUGUGGAUUUAAUAUUUUUGUAUAUUUUUUGUUCUUAAAAGUAGUAAAAAAGUAACUGAAUUUAAACCCUGUAUAUUUUUAAAUUACUCAAAUAUGACUAAUCGAGUUAAGAUCCAAUAUUUUUUAUUGAAUAAAUUGAAAUUGUUUCAAAGACAUUAAUUUUCUGCUAAGUUGUUCCGGCGCCGGAACCGUUGCAUGUGCAUGCUUCGUGGCCAUUGUUUAUUUUUUAUUUUUAAAACUAGCGACUCCGGUAUUGCCUAAUAAAUGACAUGUUCCAGGCUAUUAGCUGUUGAUUUGCAGAUAUCAAGUAGUUGAAUUUUUAAUCAUAUUUCAAAUUCUGUAUUAAGUAGAANNNNCUGUAUUAAGUAGAAAAUGAUGGGGGAUUAACUGAUAACUAGAUUUUAGUGGACAGGAAUCUUUUCCCAUAUGGGGUUUAUAUAUAGUGGAAGGAGAGAAUAGAAGAAUGACAAGGGAAUGGAAACUUGGCAGCCAUUGUUUGCAGAGGAAUUCCACUACAAAUAAAGCUCUGAAAUUUAAACUGGUAAAACGACACUUGACAACUUGUAACCAUGCAGUUCUUUGUUCAUGAAUUCUGGACUAUUGUCUCUAUACAAUAAGUUAAGGUCUAAGAUACUCAUAGACCAACCAUUACGUUCCUAACAAGUCACUAGCCAUUUCAAAUAAUAAUAAUAAUAAUAAUAUAAUAUAGUAAAGUUGGGUGGUUCUUUCAUGGAGGGAAUUAGCUUUGCAGUCACACUAGGGGGCAACCACAUUGAUCGUCUCAAACCCUAACUAGACACUACUAAUCUAGAUUUCAUGAUCAAAAUAAUAUAUUAAUUUUUAGUACAAAUAUAUCCUAAUUAACUUGUCAAAAAUUCAAAUUGUUAGAACAUGGAAGGAAGCAAUGUAAAUAAUAGGUUGUUGUAAAUUGUUAAAUGAUAUGGGAUGAUUAUCUAAAAUAUACGAAAGUGUUAUUAAUGACAUCCGUAAAAAUAGAUAUAAUUAAUUGAGAAAUUGAGAAUGAGAAUCCGGAUAGUAACUAAUCCAACCCCGAACCUAGGGCCGGGAAACUGGGGAAAAAUGUUAUUCAAAAUAGGUGUAGUUUAGACCGUGGAUAACUAUUAUAUCCAUCUCCGAUUCAAGGUUAACCGGUCUUCUUUAUACAAAGCGGAGUCAUAUAAUAGAUAUGGUUAUCUAGUUUUCUCAAUUACAAAUAACCGCACACUAUCUGAGCCGUUUCCCGACCCUACCCGAACCCUAGCUCCCUUCCAUUGACAUGCCAGCCUAUGACUACGAGGUGAUCUCCCAUACAAGUUACAACUACAAAGUAUGGGAGCUAGCUAGGUUGGUUUCGGAAAAGGAAAAGACUUUUAAGAAAAGGAGGUGUAGAAUAUGGGUGGAGUGGAGUUUUGCCAGCCUUUGCUGCCACGCCUGGAGAUUCCUUCUGUUUCUUUUCAAUAUCUCAUACUCUCGUUCAUGGUAGAUUCUUAUACGUAACUAUUAAGAGUAGAUCAUUAGUGAGUAACCAGUGUGGAACUAGUAGUCAUAUGCUAAGUUUGGCAGUGUAUUCUCCGCGGGGAACUGUGCGAUUCCACUUGGUGGCGUGCCCUCUUUUUAACAAACCCCACAAAAUUGUUCCACCACUACUACGGCACUAUGCCUCUGUCGGGUUCGAAACUAGAUAGAAGGAGACUUCCUUUUGCAUGGGUUUCUGAGUUUGGAACAUGGGCACACUCUAUAUACUAUUCUUAUGCUCUUGUCUGUUCCUAGGUUUUCUCCUGUGCUCCCAGUUUUUUGGUUGGAUAUGUACAUGUGGAAGUGGAAGUCGAAAUGUGUGUUUGGCUAUUGAAUAACUUACUCUAUUCUUUUUGGGUGAUUUUCAAACGGUAUCUGACUAUUAAACUAUUAACUUUAUCUUCUUUGAGUGGUUUCACAGAAUUCUGAUCGGACUCACAAGAUAAUUUCAAACCAUCAUAAAAUCUUUUCAUGUUGUAGUGUCCAAACGGAUAAUUUGAGACCAAAUUGCCAUCGAAGUCCAAUCACCCGUCCAAACCAAAAGACACUAUUGGAUAAUAUGAACAAGCAUCAUGAGCUAUUAAGUAUAAUUUUUUCCUAUUUAUAUGCACUACAAAUAGCCGGUGCUUUGCUGCAAGAAAUUAUAUAAGCAAUUUUUAUGUAAAAUCGUUGAGGAUGAGAGACCAAAAGAGUACUAGCUCUUGCUUGUGGCAAAAACUUGCAUAGGAAGUAACUGACUUAUUUUUUGCAUACAUGUGGUAGCAAUAGCUAGAAAUCCAAAUUAUAAUUUUUUGUAGUUGAAAGCACAUACAUCCCACUAACAACAAUAGUAAAAAUCCUUUAAAAUGUUUUUAAUUUCAUUUGACUAUUAUUUGAAGGGUUUGACAUGAUGAAAUUUCAAUUUUUAUCUAUUCCGAAUAAGUAUGUCAAAUAUUAGCCAAUUUUAAAAAUUUUCAAUUUUCAUGUCAAAAUUGGUUAAUUUCCGUGUGAUAUACUGAAGAGAUUUUCAAAUUUAAAUUGACUAAUAUUUAAUAUGCGUGUCGUAAAAUGACUAAAAAGUUAAAUUUCAUUAUGAUAAUCCUUGUAAAUAACGAUCUAAUAAAAUUUAAAAAUUAAUUUUACAUAAUAUUAUAUUAAUUUGGAAAAAAAUUCUACUUUCUUAAUCUAAUAAUAACUCUCAUCUUAUAAUAUAUUAUAUAGAAAAUGGAAUAUGUCUCUUGUUAGGUCAGCGACAAAGUGAGUAAUAUUAUAUAAUGCACGUCUAUAGAAUACUAGAAAGUAAACCUUUUUUAGUAAUAUUAUAUGAUGCCGAGUUUUUCUGUCCUUUUUUUGCGUGAGUAGGUGCCCCUUAGUACUAGUAACACCCAUAUUUGCCUGUUAUGAGUGUUUGAGCUCGACUGUUGACAACAUUUGAAUCCACAACCCUCUCUGUAUACGCUGUUGGUUACCUGUCUCUUCAACGUUGCUUUACAACUAAUAAGGUCGGAUACUUGUUUUUUGGAAGUUCAUGUGAAAGGGGUAUACAUGAGAAAGACUGAUGCUUUCCCUGUACAAUAAGGUGGCUCUGCCGAUCUUGAAGAGGAAUUUUGCUGAAAUUGCUAAUUAAAAGCCCUGCGUUAUGUUUGCGGAUAUCAGCAAGGGAUAGGUAAACGCCAAAUCACGGAACGUUGCUGGACUCUUCAGAGCUUAAUUUUACCAUGGGAAAGUGGCUACAUUGAUGUGCUGGUUUCUUCCUUGGGUCUUGCCUUUUGCCCUUCUUCUGAACUUUAUUAUAAAUUUGGCUGCAUAUACUUUUUGGAACUUUGUGCAUGGUACGAGUAGAUGUCAAUUUUCUGACCCAUCAAGGUUUCUCUUCAGGUUAUGGGUUUAAUUUUUUGGCCACUGUCGUUAGAUUCAACAUUUGUAUGGAUUCUUCAUAGUAAACAUGAGAUGUAGUGAGUUGGAGAUUAAUGAAUAGAAGAGUGAAAGGGAAUGUGCAAAGUAGAAUAUUUACCCAAGGGGAGUGUCUACUCUGCAAUUAUAUAUGACAACCUUCUUUCUAGAGUGGUAUCACGAUAGUAUUUGUAGUUUGGAGUGGGCAGUGACUUCAUCCUAGCGGCUAAUAUUAUUUGGUCGAUUCUAACGAUUAAACUUAUGUGAAUAGUUGAGAUAUUGUUCUAGACACUUAGUAUGCCACUGAACGAUAAACUACUUACGGUAAGCUAAGUCUGCUAGUCUGUUGGGCUUGCAAUUGGUCGUUUUGGAGUUUCCCAUUAAGUAACUCAUAUUAUAGUGGAGGAACCAGCGGUGAGCCAAUCUGAGUAACCGGCCAGAGUCUUUUGUUAGGUGCUAUUGGGCCUUCUUACCCCCAAAACUAGCUCAAAAGGUAAUAUUUUCCCUCAUACUUAUAAACAGCACCCAACCCCUUCCACUUUAAAAUGUGGGAUAACCCAACAAUCUAUGAGCGGUCAGUUUUUCAAGCGGUUGACUCGGGUCUCAAGAUCUCGCCCUAAUGGCCCCAUCAUCAAUAUGGUAAGCAGAAUAUGCGAAGAGCUAAGGAUAUAGAAAGUGUGUGAAAUUACUCGUCAUAAUAUGGUGGCGUGCAUGUGUUCAAACAUUGAAAGCUGCUUAUUAAUGAGGUGGGAGUCUGAGCCUGGGGUUAUGAGGUAAAGCAGUCGACGCAGUAGUAGACGGUAACAUUACGUUACUUUCAGGCAUCGUUGUCAAGCUGUAACUUCUGCCUCUUUUGUUUUCUUUCUUUCCAUUGAUUCGUACGCACAGAUACAAAGUCUCUCUCUCUCACCGUGUGUACGACUUGUGUUUUCUUAUCUUUUGGGGCGACUCUAUCAAAUCCUAUGGUAUCAAACAUCCGUUCAUGGAAAUUAUGAUCAAAUUCCUUUCAUUUGAGUAAAUAGGAUAUUCUUUGUGUUGGGGUAUUUUAUAUUGAAAAAUGAAAGGUAUGCAGUGUGCCGUUAUCUAUAAGUACGAGGGAAUGUCUCAUUUAUCAAUUGGACUAGCUUUUGAGUUGAGGAUGCUCGAUAUAUAGCACCAAAUAGCUAGUGGUCUCAAUAGCACCGAAUUAAGAAAAUAGAAGGAGCUAAAUGCAGUUAAUAACACCACGAACUGCAACAAAUUUCAAUGUUUUGACGGUGUGAGAGAUUUGAUAAUGACGAUAUUUGGGGAUGUUUGUCUGCUUCGACCACUCUGAAAUCUAUCUACUCUCUAGUUUCUUCCAUAUCAUGUAAUCUUCAAAUCCACCAUACUCUAGCAAUUAAUGCAUGUGUCUCUAUGUCUCCCUAAAUAAAAACGUGUCACGACAGUUACUAGUUACUAUUUACCUUCCAACUUGCAACUAACUACCUUAGUCACUGACUCACUGUUUUGAUUUUUCUUUUUCCUCUUUGUAAUUGUAUGGAAAGCAAAAAAAUAAAAACGGCAGCCACCAACAUCACUUAACACCGAAUGCACCAGCCCUGGACAGCAAAAAAUAACAGCUCCACCAAAGAUCAGUAUGAACUGAGGACAUCUAAAUAUGGUGUUGCGGUAGGAUGAAAUAAACACAACCAUGCCUCAUAAUAGCUCGUAAACAUAGCACCCCCAACCACUGCCCACGACCCGACUAUGAAUCCUACGCGAGAAGCCACCGCAAGCGACGAGCGUUUUUUGUCUUUGAAUAUUCGAUGGUUCCUUUCAGUCUAGGUCGACCACACUUGUCUAUGCCACACUUGUCAAAGAAAACUCGCACCCUUUGAAGGCACCAGAAGGCAACAUAUGGAGACACCUCACACUCAUAAGUCAUAUCAGUUCAUCACAUAUAUAAAAGAUGGAUAUGAGCUUAUGGGAACAUGCUUGCUUGGUAGCUUUUUGGAUAGUCAUGGCCCAUUGGGCACUCUCCCUCACAGUAUCUCCAUUUUAUAUUGGGCUUUCCUUUUACCCGAAGCCCACAGAAUGAUCCAAUAGGUUUUACGUUAUAUUCUUAAAUUCAAAUCUGAAAUUACUGAACGGCAUCGUUUCCUCCGCUCAUAUCUCUUCCCCAACUACACAGAUUCCAAACGGUAAUCGUUUGCUUUCCUCGAAUCACCAACAAUGGCGGCAGGGCCACCGCUCCUCCGUCACGUCAUCGCCGUAGACGCCGCGAUCUCUCUCUUCCUCCACAAACUCUUCCACCCUCUCCUCCCGACGGCGCUCCUCCUCAUCCUCGAGAUCUCCGCCGACUUCCGAUUCUCCUUCCCUGUCUCCCUCGCCCUUCUCCUCUCCCCUCUUUCCCCGCCGCUCCUCCCUCUCUUCUGCCCUCUCCUCCUCGGCCUCCUCCUCGAUCUCGCCGUCGUCGGACUCACCAAAUCAAUCUUCCGCCGUGCCCGCCCGUCCUACAACCAUUCCUCUAUGUCAGCCGUAGUCGCAAUCGACCACUACUCCUUCCCCAGCGGACAUUCAACAAGAGUCUUCCUCGUCGCCUCGUUGAUCUCUCUCUCAGCUGCUGCGAUCCAGGCCGCUCUGAUCGAGCUGAAGUCUGGCGGAGGAUUAGUCGAGCGGUGGAUCGUCGGGGAGAGAGUGGUGGAGAAUGUGGUGAUUGGUGUUUUUGCUUGGGCGGCGAUCACAGCGUCGUCCAGGGUUGCUCUCGGGCGGCAUUUUUUCUUUGAUGUUGUGGCUGGGUCGUGCUUGGGAGUUGUUGAAGGUUACAUUGCUUUUCGAUUCUUGCGGUUUGAGGAUUUCAUGAGGUAAAAGCUUGCAGCAACAUUGCUAUCUCAAUCGAAAUGCAAAUAGUCCCAAUUUCCUUAGCUGUACUUGUAAUUCGACUUGCACUUGGGAUUUUGGUCAUUCGUUGUUCAUUGGGUUGAAGAAAAGAUUGUUUCUUUACUUUGUCUGCAGCACUUUACUUUAUCAGAAAGUUGGCGAGGCUGCAAGUUGAGUGCUUCUGGAUUUGUUGGCUGGGAAAAUGGGAUGCACCCUCAGUCUGAUGAUCAGUCCUCAUUGAAGUAGAUUGAAGGUUGAGGUAUACUAACUUGAGCAAUUGACUUGGCUUUUCAAGUUUUGGUUACGUUUGCGAUCGGUUUAUUGAACCUUGAAGUUGAAGAAGAUCAUCGUUGUUUAGUUGUGUAUCAUUAUGUAUUCAUUAUCAAGUGUAUAUCGUUUUAACGACCACAGUUGAUCGUUAUAUCGGGACCGCUACAGUUCAAAUAUGUUUGAUUGUUUCACUGUCGUGAAAACUACUACAUUAGUCGACAUGCUCAUUAUGAGCUCAAACCACUUCCUUUCUUCCACUGCUUCUGCUGUUGGUUGAACUUGAGGAAUCCUGAGGAAAAUUUCUGUGUAUGAUGCUUUGUUUCUGUGCCCAGAAGUAAGGUGUGUUCCUCAGGAUUCAUUAGAGGUCAGGAUUCAUUUGGGGGACGGUUCGCUGAAAAACCAUCGGCUAGAAACCCAGCAGACUGAGAAAUAUUCAUUAAAAACAGUACAGGAACGAGAAUGAGAGCGAAAGGUAGGAAUCUUUUGCACGAUUGACAGCAACUCAGUCCACAUUCGUGUGACCGGUGCUCUGUUACCACUUGUCGGCACCGGAUCCCCUCAACUCAUCAACUCCUCCAAUGUGAACCUUAAUUUUUCUCCGAUCGAAAUGGAAUAUGGAAACACUCAAAUGCGAUGUUAUGGCCUUUAAGCUGAGGUUCUCAGACUUCAAGCCUCUCCUGUAUUAUUAGUUUGUAUGAAAAAUAAUUUGGACUGUUGAUUUGUACAAUCCAAGUCUACAUCUUACGGGCUUGCUUCACUUCGUCGAGUGUCUUUCAACUCGAUCGGUACUCCCUGUCUCUGCUUCCGCCGCUAUACGAUCGAAAAAGUGUUUUCAUAUUUUCAUGUGUAUACAAUUCAUUAGUUUGGCAUUAAUUUGGAUAACUUAUAGCUGCAGUAGAAUGUGAAUCCAUAUCAUUCUUUCUGCCAAGCAAUUAUUAGCAUGAUUGGACCUUUAUUUUCUGAACAAUUCCUAAAAGACUGCAUACUUGCAUAUAUCCAUAUAUAAACUUCAAUCAUUAUAUGAAAAGACUUGCUUUAUUUGCCAAUGUGAACAUUUCCUCAAUUUCCUUUUCAAAAAAAAAAUAUCGGCCACAGCCGUGAACUUUAAUCCAUAGCAGUCAUCGAGCUAGGCACAAAAACAAGUUAAACAUCUUUGAAGACAACACUUGCACAGUGGACUCUAGCCUUAUAAGUAAUUCUCCCAAAAACCUUUGUAUUAGAGUCGAUAGGAUUGGGAUUUCGUUUCCUCGAUCCAUUUUUAUUAAUAACUAAGACUUCGUGUCCGCAUUUUUUAAACAUAAAAAUAGUUCUCCCAAAACGGCGAGGGUAGACUUUUGUAUAUGCGGUCGCCAUUUUUACGCCCAAAUUCAACGUUCAUAAUUUCCUUCUUACCCUCUGCAACUUGCCCCUCUUCUGUGGAUAAUCAUUGUCCAAGUUUUACUUUACUGUAUAUUUAAAACUUAACUAGCUGGCAUGGUGAAAGAGUGGAGUGAAAUAAAGCUGUCCCGUAACUAGUUAUUUGGUCGUAUAACUAGUUAUUUCAUAUUCAUUUUUGAGGUCAACACUUUUCGGUGACCGGAUAGCGGACUGCCGUACUCAAUACCGAAGACAUCUCUUUUCUAGUCCAAGUUGAGUUGCGCAGUUGAUAGCCUUGUAUCGACAAUUCAAAUGUAUCGUCUUCCCUGUUGAAUCCAUAAUAUUGAUUUCCUUAAUUGCCAUGUAACUAUGGGUAUGCUGAUGGAUGUACUGAUCAACCGGGGCUCAAUAGAUCCAAAGAUUUUGAUGUUAAUGACAAGUGGAUGUAAACAGUCAAUAUGCGAUUUGGAUCUAUCCCAUAAUUAUUACUUGAAAAGGAAUAAAGAUAGCGUCACUCUGAUGGGUGUGAAACCAAGUGAAAUAUUACCAAACUUGUCCAAAUUGAAAUAUUAUAUUUAUCUGAAUAAAAAUACUUACAUUAGGGUACUGAUCAUUUCCAGUUAGAUUUCGAUAUUUAGGCAAUGUUUCCGCUAUUUUAAGUCCAAUUUCAACCGGAAUUUCAAUCAGAAUGAGACUCAUUACUUUAUACAUUCGGAAAACAUAUGUAGUGGAAUUUUAUCCGCACGGCGUCCAAGAUUUGGAUUGAAUUCCAGCACAUAAAACAUCGACUUACAACACUUUUAGUUACCAACAUAGUUGAUAAGAAUUUCAGACAUACUAUAACUGAGUAAAUCUUUUGUAUCUAUAUGAUCAUAAUUCAAGACAAGAUUUAUACGCAAGGCAUGUGGGAACAUACACUAAUUAAUCCCAUUAACUUCCAAAACUUUGCCUGAAAUUUCCAGGUGUCCUAGUGGACAGCUAAAUCAAGCAACUCCAAUAUUCCUCCUUCCAUCUCACUAUAAAAACCCUACCCAUAGUUCCUUCACAAACCACCCAACUCCCUUUUCUUCUUCUUCUUCGAACUCUUAACAACACUAUCAACAAUGGCUUCCAAAACCAACUCAGCCCUAGCUCUCUUCCUUGCACUCAACCUUCUCUUCUUCUCCAUGGCCUCCGCUUGCGGUGGUGGCUGCCCUACCCCGAAACCAAAACCGAAACCAACUCCCACUCCCACUCCUUCCGGCGGUGGGAAAUGCCCGAUUGAUGCCCUCAAGUUGGGAGUGUGUGCCGACGUGCUUGGCUCACUGUUGAAGCUCAAAAUCGGAAACCCACCGGUCAAGCCUUGUUGCAGUUUGAUUAAUGGACUUGUCGAUCUCGAGGCUGCUGUUUGUCUUUGCACUGCCAUCAAAGCUAACCUUCUCGGGAUCAACCUCAAUGUUCCGCUUUCUCUUAGCUUGCUUCUCAAUGUUUGCGAGAAGAAGGUCCCAUCUGGCUUCCAGUGCCCUUGAGUUUAACCAGGCGUGCUUUAUAAUUAUGCACGAGUGUGUACUCUUUUAUGAGUUUUUAAAUUUGUUGUGGGUUAAGUUGUCGAAGUGUGAGUUUGGGGUUGAUUCAGUUGUGUGAUAUCAGACAUAUGAUCUGUGUGUUUGUAGAUCUAAUAUUCCACUGUUCUGUAUUGUAUGUACUUCGAAUAAUUGAGUUCUUGUUGUGUACCAUGUUCUUUCCGGCUAAUGGCACUGGCGAGGUGAUUAACCUAUAGAAAAGGAACAACAAGGUUUCAGUUAUUGAACGAUAUCAAAGAAAGUGGCAGUCUACUGCACUUGCCCAUUUCACUGCCCAACUAUCCAUUUCACUAUCAUUCUCACUGCACUGCUCAUUUCACAAUGACAGACGAUGAUGCUUCAUUUACCUGUAGAUGAAAGACCAUGAACGCCUACAACAAUGGGCAGCCUGGAGUCGGCAACAACGGAAAGGAUUACCUCUCUCUGGUCCAAACAAACCGAGCCUGUAAGCAACGAUCCAAUACUCGUUCAAUAUGCUUCAUCUUCUUACAAGGCACUUGCUUCUAUCUUGACGCAUGGGCGAGGAUAAAGCCGGAGCACGAUGCCAAACCCUUCACCGCAAGGUUUUCGGUGCAAAAGUUAAUCAAGAGGUAAAAAGCAUUGGUUAACGGACAACAACGAGACAAAAGCACACCCCUGUUUAGAUUACCUCAUGAAGAACAGAGUUGCGCUUCCACUCACCUGACCAAUAACGCUGUAAAUUUUGGAAUUAAGAGUUACUACACAGAAGAAAUCACACAUGAGACUGUCGAGGUGAUCAGAAAUAUUGUGUGGUAUGGCGGUCCAAUAGUUGGUAGGCAUGCGAUAUGUGAAAACUACACCAACACGAGCCGACCUUACCGCACCAACUUUGAGGAAGUUCUACAAAACCUACACCAAUAUUUGGUUGGCUCGUUAGAUGAGACACCACCUUCCAAGUUGCAACAUUACCCAUGCUGAACUACGGGGUGCAGUCGAAAGGUUUGAGUUCAUUUGACAGUUUGGCUUUCGUAAUGUUACUCUGGAGUUUGAUUUGAGAUGUUCUCUCGACCUCCGGGAGGAACAUGCAAUGAUAUGACCACCAACAUGCUGCUUUGCGUGGCAGAUUUCGUGAACUACGUGCUCGAGACCGGCAGCUCAAGCUAGUUCACAUCUACAGAGAGGCUAAUUCCGCUGUUGAUUAUUUAGUUCGUCCGGGUCACUCUAUCUCUUACGGGAUCCACCACAUGACCUCGUACCUUACCGACUUUAUAUGAACAAACCGGUUAUUUCAUGAUCAUUUAUCCCUACUCUAAGACAAAUUUGUACCCACUUCUAUCUGGUUGUCAUUCGUACCAGCAGAUGCUUGUUUUGAAGUUGUUAAUGAUGGAAUAUAUGUUCAUUAUUUGGAGAUGUGAAGAUCAAGCACAUAUUUUAAUAGUUAAUACCGUGUGCAUGUGGACAGCGAUAUGAUUAAUCACGAGACGAGUACUGACAAAUUAAAUUAGUGUAAUCAUGAUCACGAGACAAACAGUAAUAGAAUCAACCUCCCAUAUAUAAUCUAUUCAUGUGUUUACAUAUGAAAAUUUGAAUGCGAUAAAUCUACCUUUGAUUUUUUGGAACCAGAUUAAUUAUACGAUUAAUACCUCUUCAAAUUAAUAGCAUUUUCAUAUCCGUAUUAUUUUAAUAAUUGUUAAGUGAUUUAGAAGAUGAUGUAAUACUUUUUUNNNNNNNNNNNNNNNNNNNNNNNNNNNNNNNNNNNNNNNNNNNNNNNNNNNNNNNNNNNNNNNNNNNNNNNNNNNNNNNNNNNNNNNNNNNNNNNNNNNNNNNNAGAAAUGGGUAAUCAAUUUUUAAAAUGGAAAUUAUCAAAAAAACUAUUAUAUUUACUGUUAUUCUGAUAGAAGUUUGAGAGAAAUCGAAACUAUAAAACUACGCCUAUGUUUAUUAGAACGUAAAGUGCAAAGAAAGAUAAAUUUAAAUAAACAAUUCUUUAUUAGUUAAUUUUUAUAUUUAUAGGGAGUCAUAAAUUGUUACUGUCACAAAAGAAAACUUUUGUAUAAGAAAAUUGUCACCGAAGUUACCUCUUACAUCCUGUUUGUGGCUAUAUAUAAUUAUGAUGUCAUGAUUUGUGGAGUAGAGAAUUGGGGGAUGGUGUUGAAGCGGGAUGUGGGCGGGAUUUAGUGGACGGAGGAAUGGGCUUGAAUGAAUUAUUAUGUAAUGGGCCUGACUCGUUCCCAAGGACACGGAAGGCCGUUGCCCCACAGUUCAAAUAUAUCGGCUACAAUUUGCAUUUUAUUUUCCCAUCUCCUCAACUCCAUUACCAUACCCACAAGCCAAGUUAGAAAAUAAUUGGUAUGGUUGUUCAUGCUUGUUUUGGUGUGUUUGAUCCAUAUACAAAUAUUUUUAAUUUCUCACAAUUCAUUAAGAGAGGAUUCUGAUUGAUAUUUAUGUUAUUUACUAAUAUUUUUCGUCCUCUUAAAUGGAAGCUCUUAUAAUUAGGGAUAAGGUUGGUACAUCUGCGAUAAGGUUGGUACAGCUGCGAUAAGGCAUUUGCACAUAUUUUGUGCUCUACUAUUGGGAUUCAAAACAGAAAUCUCCCGAUUAUGUAAGGCUCUGAUACAAUGUCAUGAUCCGUUGCAUCCCAACAAUAACUCAAGUUAUUGGGAGAAGAUUCUGAUUGAUACCCUCAAACGGAAGCUCUCAUAAGAGUUGAGAUUUGGACAGCUUCGAUAAGUCAUAUGCACAGAGUGGAGCCUAUCGAGAUUCAAAACGGAGACCUCUUCGUCAUGUAUCACUCUAAUAUUAUGUCAUAAAUCGUUUUAUCUCAAUAAUUCAAAUUGCUGAAAAAAAAUUCUGAUUGAUAUUUAUAUAAUUUACUAAGGUUUCCAUACAUAUCAUCACACAUCUUCCUAUCUAUAUAAACCCCUCAGUUCCUCUUCUCUGAAACCACACAAUAGCAUCAUCUAAUAUCUUGUAUUUCACUCUUUCUCACCAUCCUAAAACAACAAAAAAUGGCGUAUUCUACCAAGACAGCAACCCUAGCUCUGUUCCUAGCCCUGAACCUCCUCUGCUUCUCAGCCUCCCCUGCCACUGCCACAGUAGACACAUGCCCGUACGACAUAAUCAGGCUUAGCGUUUGCACUGACCUGCUCGGGUAUCUGCUCAGGAUCAGGAUCGGAACCGCGCCUCCUAGCGCACCCUGCUGCACCCUCAUCACCGGGGUGGCUGAUCUCGACGCUGCUGUUUGUGUUUGCGCUGCCCUCAAAGCCAACGUUCUCGGAACCAUCACUAACCUCAAUCUUGCCCUCACCUUGCUUCUCAAUCAGUGUGGCAGGCCCGUUCCAACCGGCUUCACCUGCGCUUACUGAUCAAUCAAAAAUCGAAAUGCAUGCUUACGUAGUUUGUGUUUGAUGUCAAUUGUAUGGUGCCUAGAGGCAUCGGUUGACGUCUGUAAUGUUCUUAUACUACUAUGAAUAAAUGGAUGAAAAUCAAGCAGUUUAUUACUUUGUCUACAUCUUAUAUAUCAUGCUGUUAGUCUCCGCAAUUUCGAAAAAAAAAUCGACAACAGUUGUAUUGGGUACCAACAAAACUAUCCAUAUGAUAAUCAAAUUAUAUGUAUCAUCCAAAUACAAAGAUGUAAAAAGAGUAAAAGACAUAUUGAAACAAAUACUAUAUAGUUAAUAUUUUUCAUAUCUCAUGCGCAUACUAAAAUACAUACUUAAAAGGAUUAUCCGAGUAUCAAAUUAUAUUGUUAAUACUCUCACACGAUGACAGUUUGUCGAUUUAUGGUCAAGAUCGUAAUUUGAAAAUGCAUCAAAAUAAAAAAGAAUUACGAACUCGAGAAUUUGAACAACUUGAUUGUAUUCCCUAUAUAAUAGGACAACUACAAGCAAAUAGAUUCCAUAUAUANNNNNNNNNNNNNNNNNNNNNNNNNNNNNNNNNNNNNNNNNNNNNNNNNNNNNNNNNNNNNNNNNNNNNNNNNNNNNNNNNNNNNNNNNNNNNNNNNNNNNNNNNNNNNNNNNNNNNNNNNNNNNNNNNNNNNNNNNNNNNNNNNNNNNNNNNNNNNAGGAAUCUCAAAUAGGGAUUAAAAAAUAUGAAAUAAGAAACAAAAUAAUAGGGAUGAAUCAACACAAGUGAACAUGGCAAUUUGUCGGGCUAAAACCAUCUUCAAUAUUAAGUCUCAAAUGGCUAUAUUUGAGUUUUAUAUUUAGCAUUUUAUAUUUUUCAAAAGAUAUUAUAUGCUUGAUAGAUAUGUUUGUGCUGUUACGGAUAUUUAUGGAGAUUAGAUGAAAAGUUAUUGUAAUUAUAAAUAUUAAAUUUUAUUUUAUAACAUAUUAUAAUUAUUUAGUCCCAACUUUAGCCAAUAUAGAACAAAAAAUUAUAUUUUUAAAGCAUUUAAAACUUUAGUCUUAUACAUUAAAAAAAUUUAAUUUUAUAAUUUAGCUAUUUAAUCAUUUAAGCCUUGGAGAUGAUCUAAUAAACACAAAGUACCAAAGGUUGGCACAAAAAUUGAUGUGUCUUUUUCCAGAUGUACAGCUACAACAAAUCUGGAUCCUUUCUCAUCCUUUCUCAAUUCCCCAAAUUACCCCUCACUCGAGCACUAUAAAACCAACCCUUUCCCUCACUCACUUCCCUCACACCAAUCCCACAGUAGUAAACAUAGCAGCAAUGGCUUCCAAUGCCAACUCAACCAUUGCUCUGUUCCUAGUCCUCAACGUUCUCUUCUUCACCAUGGUCUCAGCCACACACAAUGGCUGCCCACCUCCCCCGCCGAAACCAACCGACUGCCCGCCUUCCCCAUCCAAACCGAAACCAACCCCUUCCUCCGCGAAAUGCCCCGUUGACACCCUGAAAUUGGGAGUGUGUGGCAAUGUUUUGGGCUCAUUGCUCAAGAUCAAGAUCGGGGACCCACCGGUCAAGCCUUGCUGUAGUUUGAUAGAAGGGCUAGUCGAUCUCGAGGCUGCUGUUUGCCUUUGCACCGCCAUUAAGGCCAACAUUCUCGGGAUCCACCUCAAUGUUCCGGUUUCUCUUAGCUUGCUUCUCAAUGUUUGCAGCAAGAAGGUUCCGUCCGGAUUCCAGUGCCCCUAGAUUGAUUAUGAGAACUAUUGAACUAUUUUAUGUUUCGGUUCAUUGAUCAUGAACUUAUUAUUUGGAGUUUUUGGGGCUUGGUUGUUGAAGUUGUCAAAGUGUUCAUUUCUGAGGUAACACAUAUGUUAUCUAGUUUGUAUCUGGUGAUUUCUUAUUCUUCGAUUGUGUGUACUAUGAAAGGUUGAUUUAAGUUGUGUACUAUUGGGAAAAGGUGGAAAUGAUAGGUUUGAUUGUUCUUAAU